Molecule: long non-coding RNA, 1101 nt
Filed under: Macaca fascicularis (crab-eating macaque)
Lineage: Eukaryota; Metazoa; Chordata; Mammalia; Primates; Cercopithecidae
Description: lncRNA (ENSMFAG00000061475.1)
Source: RNAcentral
AUCUCGGCCUCCCAGUGCUGGAUUACAGGCAUGACUAAGUCUCUGUUUCUUUAACUUCAAAAGGAAGUUAGCGUUUUCCUUGCAGAGGUGCUGAGGAUUAAAUGAGAUAAUACGUGGAAACAUUAGGCAUGUAGUACACUUAGCAGAUGCUGGUUGGCUCCCCCUGUUUUCCACUAGUCUGUGGUCUACAGUUUAAAUGAUAGGGAAAAGCAUGUGAGAUUUGAGGCUGGGGAAGGAUGCAUUGGGUUCCAGGCAAGGGAGGCAGGCUCUGAGGCCUGGAGCAAGGGACCAGGGGCCUGGGCAGGCCACAGAGCACCACAGUGCCCUUGCUACCCUAUUAAUGGGCCAGGAAUCUGGAAGCCAGCUAGUAAACGCCCUCAUGCCCAGGAUCUUCCUGCAGGUGGAGCUGAAGAGCCAAGAGGCUCAGAGUCUGCAGCAGCAGGGAGACCAGUACCUGUGUCAGCUGCAGCAGUAUGUGGUCGCUUAGCAGCAGCUGACCUCUGAGGAGGAGGUGCUGCACAGGCAGUUACUGCUGCAGACCCAGCUCCUGGACCAGCUGCAGCAGCAGGAGCUCAAGGCAAAGUGGUAGCUAAGAUGGCCAGCCAAAGUUGCAGGAGACCCUGGGGAGGGCUGCUGAGAACAGGGCCACGAGAGGGACAACCUGGCAACCUCCGUGCCUUCUCACCCUCUUUCCUGGCCUCUUAGGAGCACCUGGAAGCUACCAGCCAGCAGAAACAGCAGCUAAAGCCAGGUUGAGCCUCAUGGCUCUCCCUGGGGAAGAAGAGACGGAGGAGGACAUCUGGACAGUGAGGAGGAGGAGGCACCUCGGCCCAUGCAGGACAUCCCAGAGGACCGGGAGAGCCUGGAGGUCAGGUGAGCCUGACUUUCCCUGCCCCUACUUUGUCACCUUCCUCGCUGGUCCCUCCCAGAUCCCCUUAUGUUCUUGGUUUCCCUGCCUUCUGAUUUCUGUGGACUUUCACUCCUUCCGGGAGCCAGUGGUCAAACACCAUUUCACUGUGACCAACAGGUGCACACUCUGAGCCCCAAGGGAAGGCUCCUCCUCCCCUGCCCAGUUGUUCUGUGUAUGUCCCUACAAGAAUA